RNAcentral lists this ribosomal RNA (433 nucleotides) under uncultured bacterium. RNAcentral describes it as "partial 16S ribosomal RNA". It matches the Rfam family "Bacterial small subunit ribosomal RNA", at positions 29 to 507 of the family's 1533-position model. The record is from RNAcentral.
AACGAACGCUGGCGGCAUGCCUAACACAUGCAAGUCGAACGAGACCUUCGGGUCUAGUUGCGCACGGGUGCGUAACGCGUGGGAACCUGCCCUUAGGUUCGGAAUAACUCCCCGAAAGGGGUGCUAAUACCGGAUAAUGUCUUCGGACCAAAGAUUUAUCGCCUUUGGAUGGGCCCGCGUUGGAUUAGCUAGUUGGUAGGGUAAAAGCCUACCAAGGCGACGAUCCAUAGCUGGUCUGAGAGGAUGAUCAGCCACACUGGGACUGAGACACGGCCCAGACUCCUACGGGAGGCAGCAGUGGGGAAUAUUGUACGAUGGGCGAAAGCCUGAUACAGCAAUGCCGCGUGAGUGAUGAAGGCCUUAGGGUUGUAAAGCUCUUUUACCCGGGGUGAUAAUGACAGUACCGGGAGAAUAAGCUCCGGCUAACUCCGUG